UAUUGAGAUUUUGAAAAAUUUUCAAAGUUAGUUAUGUUUUUGAUAGAAUUAAGAUUUAAAAAAUAAAAAUAUUUUUACAAAUUUGAGGGUUUCUUAAGUUUUGUAGUAUAUGUAUAAGUGAAAUUUAGAUAGUGUAUUGGUGUGAUAGUUGUAAAUGUGUAUACAAAUUUUGACGCCAAUCAAACAAUUAGAUUGAAGUGAAUGAAGGUUUUUGUGGAUUGAGGUCUUAGAAAUUGGAGUUUGAAGGUUAGUGAGUGUUCUUAAGAUCUUCAGCAAUUUAUCAAUUAGAUUGAAGUGAAAUUAUUUUAUAUAGAAAAUAGAUUUGAUUUUUAAUAUUUAGAUGAAAUUUGAAAAUAAUUCACUAGUUCAAGAAGGAGAUAUUUGCACUAGAAGUUGAGUAUUCAGGUUAGAGUAGGAGGCUGCCCAAUAUCUAAUUGAAUUAUUUAGCAUUUCUCUCAAUUGGUAAGUGCAAUUGAUUUUAUCUUUCUUGUGGUUGUUUCUUACAAAGACAUUAAGAAGUGUGCAAAAUUUUGAAUUGAUAUCAAUGGUUUGAUCAUUAGUUGUUGAAGUUCCAUUUUGCUAUAGGAUUUAUUAAGAGUAUAUUUAAAAUCUAGGAUUUGAUUAGAAUUUGGUUUAGGAUUUGGUCUAAGAUUUGAUUAGAAUUAGAAUUUUUUUAAGAUUUGGUUUGGAACUUAUGUAGAAUUUAUUUAGGAUUUAGGAUUUGAUUAAGAUUUCAAUAGGAUUUGAUUUAGAAUUUGAUUAAAAUUUAGUUAGGAUUUUAAUUAAGGUUACAUUAAUUUUUUUAUUUUUAUUAUUUUUUUAGGAUUCUUUUUAUUUCUUUUAUGACUUUUUUUUAUAUUUAUUUUGAUAAUUUAAAGUUUGAUUGGAUUAUUAGGGAUUACUUGAAGUUUAUUUAAGAUUCUAUUAGACUUAAUUGAAUUGUUGCUGCAUUGUUAUUUAUCUUCCAUAGUUAGAUGCUUCAUACAUUUUAAAAUAAGAAUAUACGUAAUACAACAUAAUUGAUAAAUUUGACAUAAAAAUCUUAAGAUAGAAGGUGUUUGGAAUUGUUUUUAAUUUAUUUGAAUUAUAAAAAAA
Molecule: long non-coding RNA, 1095 nt
Filed under: Physcomitrium patens
Lineage: Eukaryota; Viridiplantae; Streptophyta; Bryopsida; Funariales; Funariaceae
Description: long non-coding RNA (PPAT_LNC011960)
Source: RNAcentral